AUGCAGAGGAGCUGGGCAGAGGCAGAGCAGAGCUCACCUGCUCACCGGUCACUCCUCGUCGAAUUCGGCCGCCGGCUCGGGGAGCGUGGGCAGCACGGGGUACUUGCGCGAGAAGCAGGCGUCGCAGUAGUCGCCCGCCUCCUCGCCGUAGAUGCCGUGCAGCUUGUCCAGCGAGAGGAAGGCGAGGGAGUCGCUGCCGAUCUCCCGCCGCACGCCCUCCAGGUCCAUCCGGUUCGAGAUGAGCUCGCCGUCGCUCGGCGUGUCGAUGCCGUACAGGCACGACCCCACCACCGGCGGGCUGGCGAUGCGCAUGUGCACCUCGCGCGCGCCGGCGUCGCGGAGCAGGCGCACGAUCUUGCUCGACGUGGUGCCCCGGACCAGGGAGUCGUCCACCACCACCACGCUCUUGCCGCGGAUCACGCCACGCACGGGCGCCAGCUUGAGCUUCACGGCCAGGUCGCGGAUCGCCUGCGUCGGCUGGAUGAAGCUGCGCCCGCUGUAGUGCCACCGGAUCAGGCCCUGCUGGAACUCCAGCCCCGACUCCCGCGAGAAGCCGAGCGCGGCGUAGAAGCCCGAGUCGGGAACCGGGAUGACCACGUCGGCGCCCGGCGCGGGGGACUCCUCCGCGAGGGCGCGGCCGAAGGCGGUGCGGCGCUCAUGGACGUCGUGCGAGAAGACGACCGAGUUGGGGAGGGAGAAGUAGAUGUGCUCGAAGACGCAGGCCCGGCGCGGGAGGCGCGGGACGAGGCAGGCCGAGGAGACGGACAUGUCGCGGCGGUCGACCAUGACCACCUCCCCGGGCUCCACCUCGCGCUCGUAUGCGGCGUCGAUGAGGUCCAGCGCGCAGGUCUCGGACGCGAAGGCCACGGCGCCGUUGGGGAGGCGGCCGAGCACCAGCGGGCGGAACCCGUGCGGGUCGCGCACGGCGAACAGCUUGUCGGCCGUGAGGAAGAGCAGCGAGUAGGCCCCCGCGAGGCGCUCGCAGGCGUCGCAGAUGCGCGCCAGCAGCGGCCGCGAGAGCGACGUGGAGAUGAGGUGGAGGAUGACCUCCGUGUCGGAGGUGGUGUUGAAGAUGGAGCCCCGCGCCUCCAGCUUGCUCCGCAGCGCCUGGUAGUUGACGAGGUUGCCGUUGUGCGCCACGGCCACCUGCCCGAACCUGUAGCCCGCCAGGAACGGCUGCACGUUCCGCAGGGACGCGGCGGCGCCGGCGGUGGAGUAGCGCACGUGCCCGAUGGCGGCGGGUCCGGGCAGCGAGGCGAGCCUGGACGGGUCGCCGAAGACGUCGGCGACGAGCCCCAGCCCGGUCACGGACUUGAGCUUGCCGUCGCCCCCGGCGGCGACGAUCCCGGCGCCCUCCUCCCCGCGGUGCUGCAGCUUCUGCAGGCCCAGGUAGCAGAGCGAGGAGGCGUCCGGGUGGCCCACGACCCCCACCAGGCCGCACUCCUCGCGCGGGUGGUCGUCGGAUUCGUCGUCCGCCCCGUAGGAGAACGGGGUCACGCGGUCCGGCAGGAGCGCCGCCCCGGCUGGCGGCGAAAGGCGGCGGCGCAGAGCGAGAGGGGACGGAUUGGGGGCGUACCUGAGUCGCUGCUGCUGGUGUUGGUUGUGGCGCUUGGAGGCGGAGGUGGUGUGGUGGGGAUGGAGGAGGCGCGACGUGGACGGGGCGGCGGCGGCGGCGGCCAUUCCCAUUCUUGGACGGCUGAUUGGGGAGGGGAUUGCUGGCGGCGGCGGCGGCGGCGAGGGCUUUGGGGGGAUGCCCCUCCGAGUGCGGGUCAAGGGGCGGGAUUUUAA
Molecule: ribosomal RNA, 1788 nt
Filed under: Triticum aestivum (bread wheat)
Lineage: Eukaryota; Viridiplantae; Streptophyta; Magnoliopsida; Poales; Poaceae
Description: partial small subunit ribosomal RNA
Source: RNAcentral